AUUGAACGCUUUCUUCAGGCCUAACACAUGCAAGUCGAGCGGAUGAAGGGAGCUUGCUCCUGGAUUCAGCGGCGGACGGGUGAGUAAUGCCUAGGAAUCUGCCUGGUAGUGGGGGAUAACGUCAGGAAACGGGCGCUAAUACCGCAUACGUCCUGAAGGAGAAAGUGGGGGAUCUUCGGACCUCACGCUAUUAGAUGAGCCUAGGUCGGAUUAGCUAGUUGGUGGGGUAAAGGCCUACCAAGGCGACGAUCCGUAACUGGUCUGAGAGGAUGAUCAGUCACACUGGAACUGAGACACGGUCCAGACUCCUACGGGAGGCAGCAGUGGGGAAUAUUGGACAAUGGGCGAAAGCCUGAUCCAGCCAUGCCGCGUGUGUGAAGAAGGUCUUCGGAUUGUAAAGCACUUUAAGUUGGGAGGAAGGGCAGUAAGUUAAUACCUUGCUGUUUUGACGUUACCAACAGAAUAAGCACCGGCUAACUUCGUG
RNAcentral lists this ribosomal RNA (484 nucleotides) under uncultured bacterium. Its description in RNAcentral is "partial 16S ribosomal RNA". It matches the Rfam family "Bacterial small subunit ribosomal RNA", at positions 30 to 507 of the family's 1533-position model. The record is from RNAcentral.